Long non-coding RNA from Zophobas morio, 515 nucleotides. RefSeq lists it as uncharacterized. The transcript is spliced from 3 exons. Lineage: Eukaryota; Metazoa; Arthropoda; Insecta; Coleoptera; Tenebrionidae. The record is from RefSeq and is a predicted model, not a curated record.
CUGUGUCCUUCAACUUUAGAAAAUGAGUGAGAUGUUCAGUCAGAUUCUUUAUUUCUCUCAUUUUGUUCCAAAUAGCACCUCGUCUUCGUAUCAGCAGUUUGCCUUUUAGUAAUCUGAUUAAUUAACCUGCAGAUAACCGAGUGCCUACGGCCGAGGUAAAGCAAACUCUGAAUACUAUCUAUUCAAAUUCACGUACACAUUUUCUUUAAUAAUGUGGCAGGAAGCGUAACGUGAGAUAACAAAGGGACAGGACACGAUGUUUUUAGAGGUGAACGACGAAGGCUCUGCGAGAUGAUAACACUGACGAUAACUAAAAGCAAACUAUGUUUUACAAAAAGUGGAAAGGCAAUUUAAAGGAAAUUUAUUUUGUGCGCUCGAGUGUUUAAUGGAAAUUUAUUGUGUUCAGGAUGCAUGUAAAAUUUGAGGUUAUUGAUUCAAAGAUGCUGAACAGUAUUUCCUUUGACAGCGUAAAAUGGAAAAUUUUUUCAUUGUACGUACGUGCCUCUUACUUUUAA